Molecule: ribosomal RNA, 484 nt
Filed under: uncultured bacterium
Lineage: Bacteria
Description: bacterial SSU rRNA
Rfam family: Bacterial small subunit ribosomal RNA
Source: RNAcentral
GACGAACGCUGGCGGCGUGCUUAACACAUGCAAGUCGAGCGGAAAGGCCACUUCGGUGGUACUCGAGCGGCGAACGGGUGAGUAACACGUGAGUAAUCUGCCCUUCACUUCGGGAUAGCUCCGGGAAACCGGGAUUAAUACCGGAUGGGACUACCGGCUGCAUGGUCUGGUGGUGGAAAGUUUUUUCGGUGGGGGAUGUGCUCGCGGCCUAUCAGCUUGAUGGUGGGGUAAUGGCCUACCAUGGCUUCGACGGGUAGCCGGCCUGAGAGGGUGACCGGCCACACUGGGACUGAGACACGGCCCAGACUCCUACGGGAGGCAGCAGUGGGGAAUAUUGGACAAUGGGCGGAAGCCUGAUCCAGCAACGCCGCGUGAGGGAUGACGGCCUUCGGGUUGUAAACCUCUUUCAGCACCGACGAAGCGCAAGUGACGGUAGGUGCAGAAGAAGGACCGGCCAACUACGUGCCAGCCGCCGCCGUAACAC